This 93-nucleotide transfer RNA is filed under the name Streptomyces sp. CNZ306. RNAcentral describes it as "tRNA-OTHER". It matches the Rfam family "Selenocysteine transfer RNA". The record is from RNAcentral. Lineage: Bacteria; Bacillati; Actinomycetota; Actinomycetes; Kitasatosporales; Streptomycetaceae. RNAcentral also lists the same sequence under 2 other names.
GGAGGUGUACGGGCGCCUGGUGGCCCCCUCGGUCUUCAAAACCGUAGUGAGCGAGUAUCUCGGUCAGGCGGGUUCGAUUCCCGUCCACCUCCG